This 279-nucleotide unclassified non-coding RNA is filed under the name plant metagenome. RNAcentral describes it as "partial contains small subunit ribosomal RNA, internal transcribed spacer 1, and 5.8S ribosomal RNA". The record is from RNAcentral.
UUUCCGUAGGUGAACCUGCGGAAGGAUCAUUACUGAGAGAUGGUCUAUCAGGCUUUACCUCCCCCCCUGUGCUUUUGUGACCUUGUUGCUUGAGCGUGUCCGUCUAGAUGGGAGGCCCCCGGAAGCUCACCGCUUUGGGCCCGUUCCCGACAGUAGCACCCUUAAACUAUUAAUAAACCUGUUGUCAGAGUCUGGUUAUAAUAAAAAAAAAUUUAAAAAACGGACCUCUUGGUUCUGGCAUCGACGACGAAAGCACCAGAUCGGCAGAGAACACGUCUG